Molecule: ribosomal RNA, 460 nt
Filed under: uncultured marine euryarchaeote
Lineage: Archaea; Methanobacteriati; Methanobacteriota
Description: bacterial SSU rRNA
Rfam family: Archaeal small subunit ribosomal RNA
Source: RNAcentral
GGUGUGGGUAAGGACGGUGCCAGCCGCCGCGGUAAUACCGGCGCCUCAAGUGGUAGUCGAUUCUAUUGGGCCUAAAACGUCUCUUGCUUGUCUGGUACAUUUGUGGGUAAAUCAAUCAGCUCAAUUGAUUGAAUUCUCUGAGCACGGCCAGACUUGGGACCGGGAGAGUUCUGGGGUACGUUCAGGGUAGGGGUAAAAUCCUUGUCAUCCUAAACGGACCACCUGUUGCGAAGGCUCCACACUAGAACGGAUCCGACGGUCAGGGAUGAAGCCUAGUGGGCACGAACCGGAUUAGAUACCCGGGUAGUCCUAGGUGUAAACGCUGUGGACUUGGUGUUGGGGACUCUCCGAGAUUCCUCAGUGCCGAAGCGAAGUGUGAUAAGUCCACUGCCUGGGGAGUACGGUCGCAAGGCUGAAACUUAAAGGAAUUGGCGGGGGAGCACCGCAACCUGAGGAUUGU